Molecule: long non-coding RNA, 319 nt
Organism: Oncorhynchus tshawytscha (Chinook salmon)
Lineage: Eukaryota; Metazoa; Chordata; Actinopteri; Salmoniformes; Salmonidae
Source: Ensembl
UGACAACUGUUUUGUCGCUCACGUUCCUGCGGCGCAACCCUGUAUCUCCUUCCCAUCUUCCAGCGAAACAAUUUCUAAGCAGCAUCGCAACACCUCUGCAAUGCACAUUAUGGACUUUACUGGAAACAUUUUAAUACAUCGAAACAUAUCAAAGAAGACAAGGGUGGCACACAUUGAAAAUACUAUUUUCUAUGUACCUUUUCCCUUCAUAGUUUAUGGAGCGAAAGCGAACUUUCAGCGAAUUUUAUGAGUACAAAUAAAAUCACCUGACCUGCGGACCGCAAGUUUGGGAACCCUGCUGUAAAAACUCUGUGAGAAC